RNAcentral lists this ribosomal RNA (524 nucleotides) under uncultured bacterium. Its description in RNAcentral is "partial 16S ribosomal RNA". It matches the Rfam family "Bacterial small subunit ribosomal RNA", at positions 357 to 873 of the family's 1533-position model. The record is from RNAcentral.
UGGGAAUUUGGACAAUGGGCGAAAGCCUGAUCCAGCAAUGCCGCGUGUGUGAAGAAGGCCUUCGGGUUGUAAAGCACUUUUGUCCGGAAAGAAAUCCUUGGCUCUAAUACAGUCGGGGGAUGACGGUACCGGAAGAAUAAGCACCGGCUAACUACGUGCCAGCAGCCGCGGUAAUACGUAGGGUGCAAGCGUUAAUCGGAAUUACUGGGCGUAAAGCGUGCGCAGGCGGUUUGCUAAGACCGAUGUGAAAUCCCCGGGCUCAACCUGGGAACUGCAUUGGUGACUGGCAGGCUAGAGUAUGGCAGAGGGGGGUAGAAUUCCACGUGUAGCAGUGAAAUGCGUAGAGAUGUGGAGGAAUACCGAUGGCGAAGGCAGCCCCCUGGGCAAGUACUGACGCUCAUGCACGAAAGCGUGGGGAGCAAACNGGAUUAAUNCCCUGGUAGUCCACGCCCUAAANGAUGUCAACUAGUUGUUGGGGAAUUCAUUUUCCUUAGUAACGUAGCUAACGCGUGAAGUUGACCGCC